ACAUGGAGUUAGUGGUGGACAGGUGGGACAGAACCACAUGGAGUUAGUGGUGGACAGGUGGGACAGAACCACAUGGAGUUAGUGAUGGACAGGUGGGACAGAACCAUUGGAGUUAGUGAUGGACAGGUGGGACAGAACCAUUGGAGUUAGUGAUGGACAGGUGGGACAGAACCAUUGGAGUUAGUGAUGGACAGGUGGGACAGAACCAUUGGAGUUAGUGAUGGACAGGUGGGACAGAACCAUUGGAGUUAGUGAUGGACAGGUGGGACAGAACCAUUGGAGUUAGUGAUGGACAGGUAGGACAGAACCAUUGGAGUUAGUGAUGGACAGGUAGGACAGAACCAUUGGAGUUAGUGAUGGACAGGUAGGACAGAACCAUUGGAGUUAGUGAUGGACAGGUGGGACAGAACCAUUGGAGUUAGUGAUGGACAGGUGGGACAGAACCAUUGGAGUUAGUGAUGGACAGGUGGGACAGAACCAUUGGAGUUAGUGAUGGACAGGUGGGACAGAACCAUUGGAGUUAGUGAUGGACAGGUGGGACAGAACCACAUGGAGUUAGUGAUGGACAGGUGGGACAGAACCACAUGGAGUUAGUGGUGGACAGGUGGGACAGAACCACAUGGAGUUAGUGAUGGACAGGUGGGACAGAACCACAUGGAGUUAGUGAUGGACAGGUGGGACAGAACCACAUGGAGUUAGUGAUGGACAGGUGGGACAGAACCAUUGGAGUUAGUGAUGGACAGGUGGGACAGAACCACAUGGAGUUAGUGAUGGACAGGUGGGACAGAACCACAUGGAGUUAGUGGUGGACAGGUGGGACAGAACCACAUGGAGUUAGUGAUGGACAGGUGGGACAGAACCACAUGGAGUUAGUGAUGGACAGGUGGGACAGAACCACAUGGAGUUAGUGAUGGACAGGUGGGACAGAACCAUUGGAGUUAGUGAUGGACAGGUGGGACAGAACCACAUGGAGUUAGUGAUGGACAGGUGGGACAGAACCACAUGGAGUUAGUGAUGGACAGGUGGGACAGAACCAUUGGAGUUAGUGAUGGACAGGUGGGACAGAACCACAUGGAGUUAGUGAUGGACAGGUGGGACAGAACCACAUGGAGUUAGUGAUGGACAGGUGGGACAGAACCACAUGGAGUUAGUGAUGGACAGGUGGGACAGAACCACAUGGAGUUAGUGAUGGACAGGUGGGACAGAACCACUGGAGUUAGUGAUGGACAGGUGGGACAGAACCCCUGGAGUUAGUGAUGGACAGGUGGGACAGAACCACUGGAGGUAGUGUUGCACGGGGGAUAGAACCACAUGGAGUUGGUGUUGCACGGGGGGGAUAGAACCACAUGGAGUUGGUGUUGCACGGGGGGGAUAGAACAACAUGGAGUUGGUGUUGCACGGGGGGGAUAGAACCACAUGGAGUUGGUGUUGCACGGGGGAUAGAACCACAUGGAAUUGGUGUUGCACGGGGGGAUAGAACCACAUGGAGUUGGUGUUGCAUGGUCCUUCUGUGGCUCAGUUGGUAGAGCAUGGCGCUUGUAACGCCAGGGUAGUGGGUUCGAUUCCCGGGACCACCCAUACGUAGAAUGUAUGCACUCAUGACUGUAAGUCGCUUUGGAUAAAAGCGUCAGCUAAAUGGCAUAUAUUAUUAUUAUUAUUAUUGCAUGGGGGGGAUAGAACUGUAUGCAGUUAGGGAUGGACAGGUGGUAUGUCAUG
Oncorhynchus keta (chum salmon) is the source of this 1716-nucleotide long non-coding RNA. RefSeq lists it as uncharacterized. The record is from RefSeq and is a predicted model, not a curated record. The transcript is spliced from 4 exons. Lineage: Eukaryota; Metazoa; Chordata; Actinopteri; Salmoniformes; Salmonidae.